AACGAACGCUGGCGGCAGGCCUAACACAUGCAAGUCGAACGAAGCCUUCGGGCUUAGUGGCGGACGGGUGAGUAACGCGUGGGAACGUGCCCUUUGGUUCGGAAUAGCCCCGGGAAACUGGGAGUAAUACCGGAUGAGCCCUUCGGGGGAAAGAUUUAUCGCCAAAGGAUCGGCCCGCGUUGGAUUAGGUAGUUGGUGGGGUAAUGGCCUACCAAGCCGACGAUCCAUAGCUGGUUUGAGAGGAUGAUCAGCCACACUGGGACUGAGACACGGCCCAGACUCCUACGGGAGGCAGCAGUGGGGAAUCUUAGACAAUGGGGGAAACCCUGAUCUAGCCAUGCCGCGUGAUCGAUGAAGGCCUUAGGGUUGUAAAGAUCUUUCAGUGGGGAAGAUAAUGACGGUACCCACAGAAGAAGCCCCGGCUAACUCCGUGCCAGCAGCCGCCGUAA
RNAcentral lists this ribosomal RNA (449 nucleotides) under uncultured bacterium. Its description in RNAcentral is "partial 16S ribosomal RNA". It matches the Rfam family "Bacterial small subunit ribosomal RNA", at positions 29 to 523 of the family's 1533-position model. The record is from RNAcentral.